This 269-nucleotide ribosomal RNA is filed under the name uncultured bacterium. RNAcentral's name for it is "partial 16S ribosomal RNA". It matches the Rfam family "Bacterial small subunit ribosomal RNA", at positions 524 to 776 of the family's 1533-position model. The record is from RNAcentral.
UACGGAGGGUGCGAGCGUUGUCCGGAAUCAUUGGGCGUAAAGGGCGCGUAGGUGGCCCGGUCAGUUCGUGGUGAAAGCGCGGGGCUCAACUCCGCGUCGGCCAUGAAUACUGCUGGGCUGGAGCACUGUAGAGGCAGGCGGAAUUCCGGGUGUAGCGGUGGAAUGCGUAGAGAUCCGGAAGAACACCGGUGGCGAAGGCGGCCCGCUGGGCAGGAAGGCUCGCAAGAGCCGGCUGACGCUGAGGCGCGACAGCGUGGGGAGCAAACAGG